UCCCACCAGGCAGCCACCGAGAUCGAUCAGGCAGAUGCCAAAAAUCUUAAAGCCCCUGACCCGAGAGCCACAAACACUCAGGCAGACCAAGGCACCACACUCCACACCAAGUGUGGCAGGGGGAGGGGAGGCGAAGAUGUAUAGCAUCAAAAGAAGUCCCAGGAGAGGGGAGGAGUCGAAGGCCCCACCUGACAUAUACAGUCAUACACAAACACAGUCACCCACUUUCUCCCUCAUGCUCACACAUACACAUUAGAGCUGAAACAACUAAUCGAUUUAAUCGAUUAUAAUCGAUUAUUAAAAUAGUUAACAACUUUUUUAGUCAUCGAUUAGUUGUUUAAUAAUCAUAUUUUACCGCAUAAAGUCUAUUUUUUACCACAAUCUGACAUCGGUUACAAUCUGUUAAAUUUGCCGCCAGUGUGUGGCAGUAAUGAGCCACUGAUCUACCAGUGGAGCCGCAGAAGAAGAAAUGAGCCAAUAAGUGCCCUCGGUUUUCAUGACGUAUCACGUUACUGACGCUCAUCUUGCUGUGAGAGAUGGCGGAUCAACAAGAAAUACGGAAGAAAAAUAGAAGCGACAAAACAAGAGAAACCCCGGACAAAAACCUCACGAGUAUGGGAGCACUUCACUAGAUGCCUUGAAAAGACCGGUGACCUGCAAAAUAUGCAAAAACCAUGGCACGACGGAAGCACGACGUCCCUAAGUGAACAUUUGAGAUGAAAACGUGGGGGCUGAUGCAGCAGAGGAAUGUCCGAAAAAAACAAGCAACGAUGGACAACUACAUGGGGAACAAGACACUCACCCCCAGCAAUGCAUACCACUUACAAACUCUAUUCUAGAUUCUACAUUAUUUUUAUGGAAUUUACCUCAUAUUUUGAUGCCAAAAAAUUAUUCUGGACUGAUAUUUUGCACUGUUUAGCUCAUUUUACACCACUGACUGUGUUCAUCUGCAAUAAAAUAGAUUGCAGUCAACUGCAAAAA
Molecule: non-coding RNA, 981 nt
Organism: Nothobranchius furzeri (turquoise killifish)
Lineage: Eukaryota; Metazoa; Chordata; Actinopteri; Cyprinodontiformes; Nothobranchiidae
Source: RefSeq, a predicted model, not a curated record